RNAcentral lists this ribosomal RNA (465 nucleotides) under uncultured bacterium. RNAcentral's name for it is "partial 16S ribosomal RNA". It matches the Rfam family "Bacterial small subunit ribosomal RNA", at positions 29 to 507 of the family's 1533-position model. The record is from RNAcentral.
AAUGAACGUUGGCGGCGUGGAUUAGGCAUGCAAGUCGAGCGAGAACCCCGCAAGGGGGGUCAGCGGCGAAAGGGACAGUAAUGUGUAGAUACACUGCCCUCAGGUCCGGGUUAGCUGCGGGAAACUGCAGGUAAUACCGGAUAACAUCUCCGGAUCAAAGGUAUGAUUCCGCCUGAGGAUGAGUCUGCAUCCUAUUAGCUAGUUGGUGGGGUAAUGGCCUACCAUGGCAUUGAUGAGUAGCAGGUGUGUGAGCACGACCUGCGUCAUUGGGGCUGCGACACUGCGCAGACACCUACGGGCAGCUGCAGGCGAGCAUCUUCGGCAGUGGGCGCAAGGCUGAACGAGCGACGCCGCGUGUGGGAUGAAGGCCGUCUGAUUGUAAUCCGCUGUCAGAGGGGAUGAAAUGCAGGUGGGUUCUCCCAUGUGUUUGACAUAGCCACAGAGAAAGGACCGGCUAAGUUCGUG